Non-coding RNA from Triticum aestivum (bread wheat), 103 nucleotides. The record is from Rfam. Lineage: Eukaryota; Viridiplantae; Streptophyta; Magnoliopsida; Poales; Poaceae.
ACUGAUGUAUUCAACGAGUAUAUAGCCUUGGCCGACAGGCCCGGGUAAUCUUGGGAAAUUUCAUCGUGAUGGGGAUAGAUCAUUGCAAUUGUUGGUCUUGAAC